GUAGGUGGCAAGCGUUGUCCGGAAUUAUUGGGCGUAAAGCGCGCGCAGGUGGUUCUUUAAGUCUGAUGUGAAAGCCCCCGGCUCAACCGGGGAGGGUCAUUGGAAACUGGGGAACUUGAGUGCAGGAGAGGAAAGUGGAAUUCCACGUGUAGCGGUGAAAUGCGUAGAUAUGUGGAGGAACACCAGUGGCGAAGGCGACUUUCUGGCCUGUAGCUGACACUGAGGCGCGAAAGCGUGGGGAGCAAACAGGGAUUAGAUACCCUGGUAGUCCACGCCGUAAACGAUGAGUGCUAAGUGUUGGGGGGGUUUCCCGCCCCUCAGUGCUGCAGCUAACGCAUUAAGCACUCCGCCUGGGGAUACGGUCGCAAGACUG
Molecule: ribosomal RNA, 373 nt
Filed under: uncultured organism
Description: partial 16S ribosomal RNA
Rfam family: Bacterial small subunit ribosomal RNA
Source: RNAcentral